GAUGAACGCUAGCUACAGGCUUAACACAUGCAAGUCGAGGGGCAGCAUGACGGAACCUUCGGGUUUUGUUGAUGGCGACCGGCGCAAGGGUGCGUAACGCGUGAGCAACUUGCCCGUUUCAGGGGGAUAACCGGUGGAAACGCCGACUAAUACCCCAUGGCAUCAUAUUGAGGCAUCUUUACUCAAUUAAAGAAUUUCGGAAACGGAUAGGCUCGCGUGACAUUAGCUAGAUGGCGGGGUAACGGCCCACCAUGGCGACGAUGUCUAGGGGUUCUGAGAGGAAGGUCCCCCCACACUGGAACUGAGACACGGUCCAGACUCCUACGGGAGGCAGCAGUGAGGAAUAUUGGUCAAUGGUCUGACGACUGAACCAGCCAUGCCGCGUGAAGGAAACGGCCCUAUGGGUCUUAAACUUCUUUUGUAAGGGAGCAAUAAGCGCCACGUGUGGCGUGAUGAGAGUACCUUACGAAUAAGCAUCGGCUAACUCCGUGCCAGCAGCC
RNAcentral lists this ribosomal RNA (500 nucleotides) under uncultured bacterium. Its description in RNAcentral is "bacterial SSU rRNA". It matches the Rfam family "Bacterial small subunit ribosomal RNA", at positions 28 to 516 of the family's 1533-position model. The record is from RNAcentral.